CAGGACGAACGCUGGCGGCACGCUUAACACAUGCAAGUCGAACGGAGUUAUCGAGAGCUUGCUUUGAUAACUAGUGGCGGACGGGUGAGUAACACGUGAGCAAUCUGCCCUUAAGAGGGGGAUAGCAGUUGGAAACGACUGAUAAUACCGCAUAAGAUAGUAGUACCGCAUGGUACAGCUAUAAAAGAUUUAUCGCUUAAGGAUGAGCUCGCGUCUGAUUAGCUAGUUGGUGAGGUAACGGCUCACCAAGGCAACGAUCAGUAGCCGGACUGAGAGGUUGGACGGCCACAUUGGGACUGAGACACGGCCCAGACUCCUACGGGAGGCAGCAGUGGGGAAUAUUGCACAAUGGAGGAAACUCUGAUGCAGCGAUGCCGCGUGAGGGAAGAAGGUUUUAGGAUUGUAAACCUCUGUUGACAGGGACGAUAAUGACGGUACCUGUUGAGGAAGCUCCGGCUAACUACGUGCCAGCAGCGGC
This 478-nucleotide ribosomal RNA is filed under the name uncultured bacterium. RNAcentral's name for it is "bacterial SSU rRNA". It matches the Rfam family "Bacterial small subunit ribosomal RNA", at positions 25 to 518 of the family's 1533-position model. The record is from RNAcentral.